Molecule: ribosomal RNA, 402 nt
Filed under: uncultured bacterium
Lineage: Bacteria
Description: bacterial SSU rRNA
Rfam family: Bacterial small subunit ribosomal RNA
Source: RNAcentral
UGGGGAAUCUUGCACAAUGGGGGCAACCCUGAUGCAGCGACGCCGCGUGAGCGAUGAAGCCCUUCGGGGCGUAAAGCUCUUUCGACCGGAACGAUAAUGACGGUACCGGGAGAAGAAGCUGCGGCUAACUACGUGCCAGCAGCCGCGGUAAUACGUAGGCAGCAAGCGUUGCUCGGAGUUACUGGGCGUAGAGAGUGCGUAGGCGGCAAUUCAAGUCAGCUGUGAAAUCUCUGGGCUUAACCCGGAACGGCCAGCUGAUACUGCUUUGCUAGAGCGCGGAAGGGGCAAUCGGAAUUCUUGGUGUAGCGGUAAAAUGCGUAGAUAUCAAGAGGAACACCUGAGGUGAAGACGGGUUGCUGGGCCGACACUGACGCUGAGGCGCGAAAGCCAGGGGAGCAAACG